RNAcentral lists this long non-coding RNA (2857 nucleotides) under Gallus gallus (chicken). RNAcentral describes it as "lncRNA (ENSGALG00010004626.1)". The record is from RNAcentral. Lineage: Eukaryota; Metazoa; Chordata; Aves; Galliformes; Phasianidae.
GGUCAAUCAGAGAUUCAGGCCAUGAUUCAACAGUUCCCAUACAAAUGGCAUACAACCAGGGGUUUCCAGCAUCUAGAUGGGCAUAAGAUCUGUAUCAUUCUCCCUUUCUUUGUAGUGUUAACUCUAAUAAACAACUGUUUAAGUAGUAUUUUACAGAGUCAAAGUGCCUUUUUUACAGAGCCUGAGUUCCUUAUUUUACAGAGUCUCAUUGCCUGGGAUCAUAACAGACAAGAACCUUCUGGUGCAGAACAGCUCCCCAACAUUCUCAUUUUUCAAUAUAAUUGAUUUGAUGAUUUAACAUUUACCUCUGAAUCUUGCAGUUAGGAAGCUAGGGAUUGUUGUCCCCUAGCUAUCGCCUCUGUGACUAUUUUGUGUACCAGUUAUUUAACUUUACUAAAGAAAGGGACAACUUAACCUCCUGUUCUGGUAGUCAGCAUACUCACAGUUCUUCUCCACAUGCAUUUGUCUCGCUUUUUGAUCAGCCACCUGUAGUAAUGCGUAAGAGCCAGUGUGAAGUAACUCUUACAUUAGUACUGUGAGUGUUCUCAUGCACAGCUGUCCAGUCCUGGCUUUCAGGCUGUUACUCUCCCUUUCCACUGAGAAGCAGCCUCCUCCCAGGAUGCUGCUGCACAUCCUACAGUCCUGCACUGGCUAAAUAUUAAACCGACAUCAUCACUCUUUCCUGUCAUUAAGGGAUCCUAAGCAGGCAGAAGAGACUAAUUAAUAUUCUUCCUUUCCACCUGCAGCAGGGAAGAAACUUAAAUGAGCUUCCCUUUGGGUUUGUGGAAACAGGGAUGCGCAUACCUAACAAGUGUGUGUGCACAAGAUGUGAGUGUACUCAGCUGUAUCUGCACACAUUUUUUGUAAUUAAUCUCUCAUUUUAAAUAUAAAAUGGAAAUUUCUGAAGUUAAUGGAUAUGAUAGCUUGCAGUUUCCAUGCAUGGCCUUUCCCAUUAAUUGCUGACAUCAAAUUAGUCACACCAUUAGAAACUGAAGCUGAACCUUGGCUAUUCACAGCCUUGGCCUUCUGACAAAAGAGCCUCAGGAGCUUGUCACAUUGCUUCCAGUUACAGAAAAAUACACAUCUCCUUCCUGACAGAAGAGCUGCAUCCUCAGGAUACUCCUUACAGCUCAAGGCUGAAGGAGGACUGAGUUGCAGACUGCAAUGAACAGCAGUUAUUGAAAUCUGAAAAGCUGAAGAUUGGCGAAAUCCUGGGGGGAAGCUGCAAUGCCAGGACCAAAGGACCAAAAUGGAGGUCUCUCUCGCAACCCUGGUUUCCUCAGUGGAGUAUUUUGGCGGUGGGGGAUGUUCACAGAGUCUGGGAUCUGAACACUCUGGCAGCAGCCAAGGGCCCUUCAGUGUAGCUCUCUGAAUCCUGCAGUGGAUUAUCUCAUCCUCUGCUCCUUCCCCUGCCUAUGGGAUAGCUUCAGCAUCCUGGUGGUGGGUUCACAGAUAACCUGCUAGCCUGCACACUCUUCACCCAAACAGCAACUGUUACCAAUAUCAUCACCAGUUAUUUCCUGUAUCUUUUGGAACAACACACUAAAAUACAUGAAAAUAAAAUAAAAUUCUAGUUAACCUUUGGAAUGUCUCAAAUUGUUUCAGAGAUUUUCCAAAGCACUCAGGGAAUCUGGGCUGGUGCUGCUACCAUACCCCAUUGCCUUAAACCAGUAGUUCUUACUGCAGGUAACAAGAUUUCAAAUGCACAAUUUAAUCCACAAAUGUCUAGUACUGAGAGAUGGAAUUCACUGUAGACGUAUAAGUUAUUUACUGUUGGUAGAACAUCAGGCAUUGUCUCUGUGUAGUAGAAAAUGGUUUGCUUUUUCGUCAAGAUUAAAAAAAUCAACUGUUGUUUUAAACAUCUUUGUCAGUCCAAUUCAGCUCAUCAUUUUGUUACAUCUUUUGUAGGAAACAUUUGUAGAAUAGAUUUGACUUCUAACCACCCUGUGCAGAUGGCAGGGAAGAUUUAACUCUGCUAUGAUGCUUCACAAAAACACCAAAAACAUAAUACAUUCAUAAAUUAUUUCUUACUGAUGUAAAAAUCCCAUCCCUUUCCAGUUGAGCUCACCUGUGCUGUAGGAAUACAGAAUGGCACACAUUUCCCUGGUAUCAGGAGAAAAACAUGCUGGCAAUCAAUCUGCUGAAGGGUUACUGUUUGACUCAUGAUACUCAUACUCUUACCAUUUUUUAGGAAAAAUAUCCGUGACUAGAAGAAAGAAGAGGGCAUUCAGUUACACUGAAUUUUGCAACUAUUUGUUCUUCCAUUCCGUUUAAGUAUACAGAAAAAUGGAAAUGCUGCAUCACUGUGUCACUUGCAUGAUCUACUGCUGUUUGUUGAUCCCUCCCUCAGGAAGACACAAAAGGGACCACUAUUCUCAUCACCUCUGCAUCUAUAAAAGAAGUCAGCUGUGUAAGCUAAAAUGAGCCAUAUCAAAGCAACUUUGAUCACUUUAUUAGCUGUCAAGCCCCUUUCAAAGCCAGCACUGUCUGCCUUAAUGGGUUGUAUUACUUUCAAAUGUCAUAUUUAAUGUGUGUUGUUCCAGAUCCCUGAUACUAUCUGAGGUGCUGAUUGCAGAGCACAGUACCAACAGCCUUGCAGGUGGGUCUGUUAGUUUCAGCAUAUUCCUAGUUCUCAACAGCAUGUGAUUUAAUUGCAGAAUUGGUGAAGCAAGGGCAUCAUGAGAGUCCAUCUGCAUUUUUUCUCUAUGUGCACAGCCACAAAGUCAUCUUGCAGUGUAGAUUUGCAUGAGUUAUGUGACUGUAAAAAAAUACUCCAGUUCGCAAGGCUAUCAACUCUUUGUCAUGAAACAAAAACACCUGCCAGAAGAGUUUUAUUCUUGAUAAUCACAGCACAAAU